GUGCUCUCUUCAGCAGCACAUAUACUAAAAUUGGAACGAUACAGAGAAUAUUAGCAUCGCCCCUGCGCAAGGACGGCACACAAAUUCGUGAAGCAUUCCAUAUUUUU
This is a small nuclear RNA of Capra hircus (goat), 107 nucleotides long. NCBI's taxonomy places the organism in Eukaryota, Metazoa, Chordata, Mammalia, Artiodactyla, Bovidae. The record is from Ensembl.